CCUUCGCCAUGAAUAAACCAUUGAUAUCAAUUUCUACUGAAGAAUUACUCAACACAGGGUCGUCCACAAAAGUAACAUUCAUUGCAGAAACAUGAUCCACUGAGACUUGUUUUGGAAGUGAUUGCAAUCGGGAACCAAGUUUUAAUAUCCCUUCUUUGAUUUUCUUGGAAAUAGCAUUUUCUACUGCAGACCCUAUAGGACCUUCAAAAGCAUCAACCACCCUUUGAUACAGCCAAGAUGCUCCACC
RNAcentral lists this unclassified non-coding RNA (247 nucleotides) under Hevea brasiliensis (rubber tree). Lineage: Eukaryota; Viridiplantae; Streptophyta; Magnoliopsida; Malpighiales; Euphorbiaceae. The record is from RNAcentral.